AUGGCGACCGAUGCGUCCCGCGCUCUAGGCGAAGACCGCGGCCCCGUCCCCGCGCCUCCACCGCCUUCUUCCAGGAGGAGGGGCCGUGCGGCGCCUGCCCGGGGGCCCUCAGGCCGCAGGCGGGCGCGAGCUUCAGGGAACUUAGGGGGCUCCCGCCUCCCCGGCCACGCGAGCGGGAACAGUCUCCUCCACUCGGAGCGGCGCCAUCUUCAGCUCUGAGUCACCAGGGCUGGAAAAAUACUAGAUGCGCUACUCGUGGACUCGUGAAUACACUCGUGAAUACAGGCCAUUUCCUGUACCUACAGCCACCCGCUCCACUCAUCAUGCCUUACCUGGAUGAUGCAGAAGUCCCUGGAAACAGAAGGUCUCACCCUUCUUUAUCUUUCUCAUGGCUUUCCAAGGCUCUUUAUCAUGUUACUUUCCUGCUCAGAAUUCUUUAAUGACUUGCCUCAAUGACCAGAUACAUGUGAUCUACAGUCAGCCUUCCAGCCUCAUCAUUCCUCUUCCAUUUCCUCCCCAGAAACACUGUACUUUAUGAAGCUCCUCCAAGACGAACCUGUUGGAGAAUGUACUCCUUGGAAAUAAGGAAGAAAGAGGAUCCAGGGAACAGGAGUUUCACCACAGAGGAGCAGGAAAGGGAAUUCCCAGUAUGAUGGCAAGUUGCUAAAUUAAAUGUUUUGCCCAUUA
This 687-nucleotide long non-coding RNA is filed under the name Homo sapiens (human). RNAcentral describes it as "AHI1 divergent transcript, transcript variant 3 (AHI1-DT)". The record is from RNAcentral. Lineage: Eukaryota; Metazoa; Chordata; Mammalia; Primates; Hominidae.